CCCUUAGAUGUCCUGGGCCGCACGCGCGCUACACUGAGUGUCUGAGAUACGAGUCUGCUUGGUCCGGCAAGGUCUAGGUAAUCGCUAAAAGACACAUCAUGCUUGGGAUAGAUUAUUGCAAAUAUUAAUCUUGAACGAGGAAUUCCUAGUAAGCGCAAGUCAACAGCUUGCGUUGAUUACGUCCCUGCCCUUUGUACACACCGCCCGUCGCUACUACUGAUUGGAUGUUUAAGCGAGGUUCUCGAACUGCUAGCGACUUAGCUUCGGUGAGGUCGCAGUGUGGGAAGUGAACCUAGCUUUGGUGUCUAGAGGAAGUAAAAGUCGUAACA
This 329-nucleotide ribosomal RNA is filed under the name uncultured eukaryote. Its description in RNAcentral is "partial 18S ribosomal RNA". It matches the Rfam family "Eukaryotic small subunit ribosomal RNA", at positions 1470 to 1796 of the family's 1831-position model. The record is from RNAcentral.